This 253-nucleotide ribosomal RNA is filed under the name uncultured bacterium. RNAcentral describes it as "partial 16S ribosomal RNA". It matches the Rfam family "Bacterial small subunit ribosomal RNA", at positions 524 to 776 of the family's 1533-position model. The record is from RNAcentral.
UACGAAGGGGGCUAGCGUUGCUCGGAAUUACUGGGCGUAAAGCGCACGUAGGCGGCUUGUUAAGUCAGGGGUGAAAUCCUGGAGCUCAACUCCAGAACUGCCUUUGAUACUGGCGAGCUUGAGUCCGGGAGAGGUGAGUGGAACUGCGAGUGUAGAGGUGAAAUUCGUAGAUAUUCGCAAGAACACCAGUGGCGAAGGCGGCUCACUGGCCCGGUACUGACGCUGAGGUGCGAAAGCGUGGGGAGCAAACAGG